This 516-nucleotide ribosomal RNA is filed under the name uncultured bacterium. RNAcentral's name for it is "bacterial SSU rRNA". It matches the Rfam family "Bacterial small subunit ribosomal RNA", at positions 8 to 521 of the family's 1533-position model. The record is from RNAcentral.
AGAGUUUGAUCCUGGCUCAGAUUGAACGCUGGCGGUAUGCUUUACACAUGCAAGUCGAACGGCAGCACGGGGCAACCUGGUGGCGAGUGGCGAACGGGUGAGUAACAUAUCGGAACAUAUCCGGAAGUGGGGGAUAACGUAGCGAAAGUUACGCUAAUACCGCAUAUGCCCUGAGGGGGAAAGGGGGGGAUCGCAAGACCUCUCGCUUUCGGAGUGGCCGAUAUCGGAUUAGCUAGAUGGUGAGGUAAAGGCUCACCAUGGCGACGAUCCGUAGCGGGUCUGAGAGGACGACCCGCCACACUGGAACUGAGACACGGUCCAGACUCCUACGGGAGGCAGCAGUGGGGAAUUUUGGACAAUGGGCGCAAGCCUGAUCCAGCCAUACCGCGUGAGUGAAGAAGGCCUUCGGGUUGUAAAGCUCUUUCAGCCGGAAAGAAAUCGCACUUUUUAAUACGGAGUGUGGAUGACGGUACCGGAAGAAGAAGCGCCGGCUAACUACGUGCCAGCAGCCGCGGU